CUGCCCAGGAGUCUCCUCAACCCCAAGAUAUCAGUGAGCAAAAGUUCCAUAGCCAAUUAAUUUUCUUUAUCUUGGAAAAUCCCUGAAGUGUUUGUAACAGGCAGUGUUUCUCUUGAUUUAUCUUUUGUACUUCUCUUUUCUAUGAAAUAAAGACUUGAUUUCAAUUCUAUAUCUUUUUAUGUGUUCUUCAUUUGAAGUCAUAUUUAGAAUAGUCUAUACUCUUGGGACAAGCUGUAAUCAAUGGAUACAGUUCAUAUUCUUGGGAUAGAUUAUCUUUAAGUAUGAUUUCUUUUAUCUUGUAUGUAUCUCAUCCUGACUAGCCUAUACUCUAGAGGGA
RNAcentral lists this long non-coding RNA (337 nucleotides) under Elaeis guineensis (African oil palm). Its description in RNAcentral is "long non-coding RNA (EGUI_LNC044300)". The record is from RNAcentral. Lineage: Eukaryota; Viridiplantae; Streptophyta; Magnoliopsida; Arecales; Arecaceae.